This 278-nucleotide unclassified non-coding RNA is filed under the name uncultured Anabaena sp. Its description in RNAcentral is "partial 16S-23S ribosomal RNA intergenic spacer". Lineage: Bacteria; Bacillati; Cyanobacteriota; Cyanophyceae; Nostocales; Nostocaceae. The record is from RNAcentral.
UAGGGAGACCUAAUCCAUUUAGAAAUCGAAAACAAUGAAAAUUGUCAAUAGAAACUAAGUUGGUCUAACCUAGGUCGUUCGAGAUUGGUAGACAUCUUUCAAAGUAUUAUUCGGCUUCGUUCAAAACCAUAUAUAAUAAAUGGAAAAAGACAGCACCUAAUUGUCAAAGUUAGACUGCUGGAUGAAGUUCCAGCCAGAACCUUGAAAACUGCAUAAGAGAACAAGAAAAAGCAGGCAGACACAGACAUUUAGAUGGAUGUGGAAGCAAAAGAAAUUGU